GGCUUAGAGCGUGAGACUUUUAAUCUCAAGGUUGCGGGUUCGAGUCCCGCGUUGGGCU
This 58-nucleotide transfer RNA is filed under the name Candida maltosa Xu316. It matches the Rfam family "tRNA", at positions 15 to 71 of the family's 71-position model. Rfam says of the family: Transfer RNA (tRNA) molecules are approximately 80 nucleotides in length. Lineage: Eukaryota; Fungi; Ascomycota; Pichiomycetes; Serinales; Debaryomycetaceae. The record is from Rfam by way of RNAcentral.